CCCAAUCAAAUGACAUAUGAAUUUAUAAAAAUAGAUAUACAAAAAGCAAGAUUUGAUUUGCAGCAGGUCAAGUUUACGAGUUUAUUCCAGCUACGCCAGUGACUUACAAACUUACAACUUUUCACAGUGUGCCAGAGGGUUGCAUCCUGUUCUGCAAAUUAUGUUUCACAUGUACAAUUAAUUUGUUCACCAAAAGUUAAAGACGCCAAAAUGAUUUUUGUCAGAGUUACAUAAAUGUUGC
RNAcentral lists this long non-coding RNA (241 nucleotides) under Mytilus galloprovincialis (Mediterranean mussel). The record is from RNAcentral. Lineage: Eukaryota; Metazoa; Mollusca; Bivalvia; Mytilida; Mytilidae.